GCCUGGUCCAAUGGUAGUGGGUUAUCAGAACUUACUAACAUUAGUGUCAUUAAAGUUGGUAUACAACCCCCCUCCCACUGCUAAAUUUGACUGGAGAA
This 98-nucleotide Y RNA is filed under the name Cebus imitator (Panamanian white-faced capuchin). Its description in RNAcentral is "Y RNA (ENSCCAG00000011571.1)". It matches the Rfam family "Y RNA". From Rfam's summary of the family: Y RNAs are components of the Ro ribonucleoprotein particle (Ro RNP), in association with Ro60 and La proteins. The Y RNAs and Ro60 and La proteins are well conserved, but the function of the Ro RNP is not known. In humans the RNA component can be one of four small RNAs -- hY1, hY3, hY4 and hY5. The record is from Rfam by way of RNAcentral. Lineage: Eukaryota; Metazoa; Chordata; Mammalia; Primates; Cebidae.